GCCACGGUGGUGAAAUGGUAUACACGAGGGCCUUAAGAGCCCUUAUCCGACUAGGAUGUGAGAGUUCGAGUCUCUCCCGUGGCA
Molecule: transfer RNA, 84 nt
Filed under: Patescibacteria group bacterium
Lineage: Bacteria
Also listed under: 1 other name
Description: tRNA-Leu
Rfam family: tRNA
About the family: Transfer RNA (tRNA) molecules are approximately 80 nucleotides in length. Their secondary structure includes four short double-helical elements and three loops (D, anti-codon, and T loops).
Source: RNAcentral